CCUACGGGAGGCAGCAGUGAGGAAUAUUGGUCAAUGGCCGGAAGGCUGAACCAGCCAUGCCGCGUGAAGGUCAGUGCCCUAUGGGCGUUAAACUUCUUUUGUGCUGGAGCAAUAAUGGUCACGUGUGGCCAGACGAGAGUACUGUACGAAUAAGCAUCGGCUAAUUCUGGGCUAGCAGCCGCGGCAAUACGGGGGAUGCAAGCGUUAUCCGGAUUUAUUGGGUUUAAAGGGUGCGUAGGCUGUGAGGUAAGUCAGCGGUGAAAUGCCCCCGCUCAACGGGGGGAAGUGCCAUUGAUACUGCAUUGCUGGAAUGCGGAUGCGGUGGGAGGAAUGUGUAGUGUAGCGGUGAAAUGCGUAGAUAUUACACAGAACACCAGUUGCGAAGGCGGCUCACGGGUCCGUGAUUGACGCUGAGGCACGAAAGCGUGGGUAUCAAACAGGAUUAGAUACCCUGGUAGUC
Molecule: ribosomal RNA, 460 nt
Filed under: uncultured bacterium
Lineage: Bacteria
Description: partial 16S ribosomal RNA
Rfam family: Bacterial small subunit ribosomal RNA
Source: RNAcentral